Anas platyrhynchos (mallard) is the source of this 1008-nucleotide long non-coding RNA. RefSeq lists it as uncharacterized. The record is from RefSeq and is a predicted model, not a curated record. NCBI's taxonomy places the organism in Eukaryota, Metazoa, Chordata, Aves, Anseriformes, Anatidae.
GCUGUGAAAAGCAGGAACUAAAUGAUCACAGUGUAAAUGUAUCUGAUCACUUAUUCAGAAACUCCAUCAAAUUAACUACCGCUGUUUCUGCCAUCCACUAACUACCAUGGUUAUUGGGGUCAUAAUGCUGCUGGAGUUGGGACAGGACAGGUCUUGAGAGAAAUUAAGACUUAAAAGGACAUGAGAUUUUUCUGAAAAUGUUAAAUGAAAAGGGGAAGCAGGAGUAAGGAGACAAGACUAGGGUCACAUUGGUGAUUCUACAGGUUGAAAAGUGUGAGGCUGUUUGACAGAGCAGUCUCAAAAGCUUUAUCCCAGCUAGAGGACCUACGUACCUGUGCACAGCCCAGCUGCCUACUGCAGGAAGAGAUCCAGAUGCAUACCAGCCUUUUCCCCCAGGGUGAAGGAAAGAUUUUCUCAUCUGCCCUGAAAAGGUUGGUCAGCACCCACAGGCUCUGGCCUGACAUAGCCUGUUCACCCAGCCCAGGUGCCUGAGAAGUGGAAUUAAGCAGGAGCUGACUGGUGAAUGCAGUGAGUGACUGAUGUUUCUGUGAGAUGGGCCAAGAAACACCAGCAGGAUCCAGAAAUGUUGCCAGAGGAAAUCCAAGGGGAAGAUUAAGUAUAUUGUGGACAAGGAACAACCUGGCAAUAUAAUGAUGGUAAGAAGUUGGGGGUUGCUAGUCUGGGACUGUUUCAUGGAAAUUCAUGGAACUGUUAUUGUUGAAUCAGUUGUUGAAAUUGCUUAUUUUUGAAUCAUUGAAUUGUUAUUUAGUAUUUACUGUUACUUGCUGAAGAGUUCCUCUUUGAACCGUUGUUAAUGUUAGCACUCACACCUGAUCAUUUGAAAAGAAGCUCAGAUGUGAAUGGCUCUGUAGAUGUACUUCUAGAACAUAAAAUAUCAGCUGUGAGAAACUGUGACAUUUAGACCUAUAUAGAAGUAGCCAUCUUACUUACAGGAGCAAUAAAACCACCUUACUCAAAGACAGUCUGCAGUUAAGCAUCAUAAAACAU